RNAcentral lists this ribosomal RNA (1437 nucleotides) under uncultured Bordetella sp. RNAcentral describes it as "partial 16S-23S ribosomal RNA intergenic spacer". It matches the Rfam family "Bacterial small subunit ribosomal RNA". Lineage: Bacteria; Pseudomonadati; Pseudomonadota; Betaproteobacteria; Burkholderiales; Alcaligenaceae. The record is from RNAcentral.
AGUUUGAUCAUGGCUCAGAUUGAACGCUGGCGGGAUGCUUUACACAUGCAAGUCGAACGGCAGCACGGGACUCAUUCAAGGGUUGGCGGUGGAACGGUAGCAAUGUCGGAACGUGCCUAGUAGCGGGGGAUAACUAUUAUAAAGCGUAGCUACACGCAUACGCCCUUCGGGGGAAAGCGGGGACCUUCGGGCCCUCGCACUAUUAGAGCGGCCGAUAUCGGAUUAGCUAGUUGGUGGGGUAACGGCUCACCAAGGCGACGACCGCCGGUUUGAGAGGACGACCAGCCACACUGGGACUGAGACACGGCCCAGACUCCUACGGGAGGCAGCAGUGGGGAAACGGACAAUGGGGAACCUGAACCAGCCAUCCCGCGUGUAAGGAUGUUGAAGGCCUUCGCUGUAAAGCACUUUGGCAGGAGUAAAGAAACGGCACGGGAUAAUACCCGCAAGAACUGACGGUACCUGCAGAAUAAGCACCCGCCAACUACGCCAGCAGCCGCGUACUGUAGGUGAUAUGACCGGAAUUACUAAGCGCAAGCGUGCGCAGGCGGUUCGGAAAGAAAGAUAAACCCAGAGCCGCAACUUUGGAAACCGGCAUUUUUAACCACCGAGCGAGUAAAAUGAGGUGGAGGUGGAAUUCGGCGUAGCAGUAAAAUGCGUAGAUAUGCGGAGGAACACCGAUGGCGAAGCAGCCUCCUGGGAUAACACUGACGCUCAUGCACGAAAGCGUGAGCAAACAGAUUAGAUACCCUGGUAGUCCACGCCCUAACAGAUGUCAACUAGCUGUUGGGGCCUUCGGAAGCCUGGUAGCGCAGCUAACGGGUGAAGUUGACCGCCUGGGAGUACGGUCGCAAGAUUAAACUCAAAGGAAUUGACGGGACCCACGGCCGUUGCGGAUGAUGAUUAAUUCGAUGCAAUCAUGAAAACCUUACCUACCCUUGACAUGUCUGGGAAUCCGAAGAGAUUUGGGAGUGCUCGCAAGAGAACCGGAACACAGGUGCUGCAUUAUUGCCGUCAAAUGUGUCGUGAGAUGCUGGGUUAAGUCCCGCAACGAGCGCAACCCCUUGUCAUUAGUUGCCACGAAAGGGCACUUAAUGAGACGCCGGUGACAAACCGGAGGAAGGGGUGGGGAUGACGUCAAGUCUCCUCAUGGCCCCGCGGGUAGGGCUUCACACGUCAGCGGCUAAAUGGUCGUGGUCGCCACCCGCGAGGGGGAGCAUCCCAGAACCCGAUCUAGUCCGGAUCGCCUGCAACUCGACUGCGUGAAGUCGGAAUCGCUAGUAAUCGCGGAUCAGCAUGUCGCGGUGAAUACGUUCCCGGUCUUGUACACACCGCCCGUCACACCACAGGAGUGGGUUUUACCAGAAGUAGUUAGCCUAACCGUAAGGAGGGCGAUUACCACGGUAGACUCAUGACUGGGGUGAAGUCAAUAAGGUA